This 484-nucleotide ribosomal RNA is filed under the name uncultured bacterium. Its description in RNAcentral is "partial 16S ribosomal RNA". It matches the Rfam family "Bacterial small subunit ribosomal RNA", at positions 28 to 507 of the family's 1533-position model. The record is from RNAcentral.
AUUGAACGCUGGCGGCAUGCUUUACACAUGCCAGUCGAACGGCAGCGCGGGCUUCGGCCUGGCGGCGAGUGGCGAACGGGUGAGUAAUGCAUCGGAACGUGCCCAGUAGUGGGGGAUAGCCCGGCGAAAGCCGGAUUAAUACCGCAUACGACCUGAGGGUGAAAGCGGGGGACCGAAAGGCCUCGCACUAUUGGAGCGGCCGAUGUCGGAUUAGCUAGUUGGUGGGGUAAAGGCUUACCAAGGCGACGAUCCGUAGCUGGUCUGAGAGGACGACCAGCCACACUGGGACUGAGACACGGCCCAGACUCCUACGGGAGGCAGCAGUGGGGAAUUUUGGACAAUGGGGGCAACCCUGAUCCAGCCAUGCCGCGUGCGGGAAGAAGGCCUUCGGGUUGUAAACCGCUUUUGUUCGGGAAGAAAUCCUCUGGGCUAAUACCCCGGGGGGAUGACGGUACCGGAAGAAUAAGCACCGGCUAACUACGUG